CGCUACGUUGGAGAUUCCAGUGUUAAGCAUAAGCACACCACUUUCAACUGUCAAAUUAACAAAUAGGUGUUAGUUUCAAUACACGACUUCUAAAUAGCCAACCUCAGUAGUUAAGUAGUAGUAGUAUUAGCAUUGCAUUGAGGACCGCAAACAAGGUUCCGUAAAAGUACUGAUGGAAAAGUAUAAUUUAUGAGGUGAGGAUAAUUCCACCUACCAUCGUGAACAAACGAGUGGUGAUGAUAGAGAUAAGAUAGAUUGAGGCACGAAGCAAAGCCACGUGGCCGACUGGUAGCAUAUCAACUAACGUUGGUGCUCGUUGCAACCACACUAUUUCCACAAGCUCUCUCCCUGUUUCUUAUCAUUAAGAAGAAGCAGAGCAUCAGGAGUUGGUAAAGUAGCCUUCUCAUAAACUCAAACAAGGAAAUGGCGACCGCACCCGCUUUAUGUGGCUCUGUGUUGAACACCUCUUUUCUCAGGAAGCAGCCUGUGAUCAGCACAAGCCUCAAGUCAUUCCCAAACGCUAACGCCAUGUUCGGUGUGGAAGGAGGACGUGGAGGUCGUGUGACUGCCAUGGCCGCUUACAAGGUGAAGCUGAUCACCCCAGAGGGAGAGCAGGAGUUCGAAUGCCCAGAUGAUGAAUACAUUCUUGAUGUUGCAGAGGGCCUAGGCCUUGACCUUCCCUACUCAUGCAGGGCUGGUUCUUGNUCUUCCUGUGCUGGCAAAGUUGUCGCCGGCAAAGUCGACCAGUCGGACGGUAACUACCUUGAUGACGACCAAAUUGGUGAAGGCUGGGUUCUCACCUGCGUUGCUUACCCAACCUCAGAUCUUGUUAUCGAAACCCACAAGGAGGAAGACCUCGUUGCUUAAAUCUUAUCAUCAUCAUCAUCGCUGCCUCUACUUUAUUAAGUUUCUUCCUUUCCCUGUGCUGCCUUUUCUUUAUCUGAGGAUAGACACACCCAUUAUGCUUUAUUACGUACCAUAAAUACCUUCUUAUGCAGUAAUGUAAUUCAUUACUUCCCCUGUAUUAGCAGCUCAACAUGUUUUUUUGUUAACUAUAAUAAUCUUUUCCUUACAGUUUUUGCGCGCAAUAUCCUUUCCACUUUCCGCCCUUCAAUCACUGAUUAUUACCUUUUACGAUCACAAAUUCGAUCUUGUCAUUCUAUCCGUGUUAACAUUUUAUGGUAUUGGAUUCAUAAAUUUAUGAAAGCAGUGCUAAAUACUAUCACAUAUUUAUUUACACAUCAAUCUGCGCAAAUACAAUAUAUAAAAAUGUUUUUCAUUGCUCAAUUAACAAUACAUAUAAUAUUUAUAAGCAAAACAGAUAGAAGUGCAACUCAAACAUACUUGCUUGUUUACGUUUUCACGCUCCCGACAUUUUUAUAUUUACGAUCUUAUCAUUCUCUUUUUGAGGUGAAAGAGGGAAUAUCUCUAUCAGAGAAGAUAAUGGAUAAAUCCCACAUAAACUAUAAUCUGAUAAGUCUUUCUAUAUAUAUCAAUCCAAGAUGUAUUUUCUUUCCCAGGGUUUGGAGAGGGUGCUCUUGGAGCAAAGAUUUGUAACUAUUAAAAAUGAAAUAAACUAAAAGUUAAAAUGAGGUUCUAUUAUUUAAGUAAAGGUUAAAUAAUUUCAAAUCUUUCGUAGUAGCAAAGAGUCCACUAAAAUAAUGCAGAGUCAGCAAAGUGACAGAUUCUCUGCCAUUGAAGUAUUUUAACUUAUUCUAAUUUGAGAUUUUAUUGCUUUCUAUAUUUAAAACAGAGGUAAAAAAAUUGUUAAAAAAACAUUUUUCUUUUAACUUAUAGUAUAUUAACAAUAUUUUAAUGUUUAAAAGCCGGAAAAGAAGAGUAUGAAUGGAUAAGAUAUGCAUCGAAGAACAAUGUGAUGAUAAUUUUCAAGUGGAAGCCUGGAUUUUGCACAAUCUGUGGAGAUAACAGAGGCACAGAGAUUGAGGUACGUGAGGUUGCAUUCGACCAAGAUAUGGUGAUAACAAUCGUGAGAACCAGUUGUGAUAAAGCCACGUGUAAGUGGGGUUGCAUGUGAUGUUGGAACUGGUUGUAAUCACAAGCUCCUUAUCGUUAUCAACAAAGAAGAAGAAAAAUCCAUCAACUUUGCAAGCAAGAGGAGAAUGGCGUUGAUUCAUGUGGCAGUGUUGAACACCUCCUUCCUCUGGAAACAGCCAGUCCUGAAGGCAUUCCCGAAUGCUAACGCCAUGUUUGGUGUGAAAGGAGGAAGUGGGGGUCGUGUGAGUGCCAUGGCCAGUUACAAGGUGAAGCUGAUCACACCAGAGGGAGACAAAGAAUUUGAAUGCCCAGAUGAUGCUUAUAUUCUUGACCAGGCUGAGGAAAUAGGCAUUGAUCUUCCCUACUCAUGCAGGGCUGGUGCUUGUUCUAGCUGUGCUGGCAAAGUUGUGGCUGGCCAAGUAGACCAAUCAGAUGGUAGUUUCCUUGAUGAAACUCAAGAGAGUGAAGGCUUUGUUCUCACCUGCAUCGCUUACCCCACUUCAGAUGUUGUUAUUCUCACUCACAAGGAGGAGGAACUCACUGCCACUGCUUGACUCACUCAGUUUCUUCCCUUCUCAACCUCAUCAUCUUUUUUCUUUUCUGUCUUGUGCAAUUUUCUCAGGAUUUUACUAUAUAUAUCAUGUUUCAUUCUUUGUUUUAUGAUCGGCAACUUAUCACGAAAUUUUUUGCCUUGAUGCUGACUUGCAUUGUAGCUUCUUAUCUCAGUUGUUAUAGAUGAUGAUUUCAUGCAUUGUGUGGCCAAAGUUUUUAACCUUCAUAUCACUUAAAAAUGAGAGAUGAUAUCUGAUUGUGUCUGCUGCAUUAGGUAGAUUCCACUUGUGAUAAAAGAAUUGAAGCAGGCUAAGGAUAUGGAAUGGGAGGCAUUAGAGAAAAGAACAUCAUUGUAGUUGAAUUCCUUGCCAAAAUUAAGGAAUGAAGUCAAUCAAAUGCAAAUGGUUAUAUUCACACUUUUGUGUUUUCUUUCUGUUCUACCUUUUACUUUUCCCUAGUAUUGCCAGAAUCAGUCAUGUGAACUGCAUAAGGGUAGACCAUUUGAAGACAGAUCCUUUCUCAUUGAUGCAUAAUUGUCAAACGCUAAAACAUAGAUAGAGGGUUCAUCAAGUUCCACAUUAAGAAGAACGUUUCACAAACAUACCCAAAAUAUUCACAUUCUUCCCUGCCAAGCCCAUGAAACAUAUAUCAUAGGAUCCAUGUCUUGUAAAUCAAAUCAGUUCAUCCAUUGUCUUUACUCCUCUAGUUGAAUCAAGUAAUUGACCAAUUUUGUACUUCAAUUCUUCAGGUUUGCUUUCUUAGCGUUAUCUUUAAGGUAGCUGUUCCUUGUUUGAUCCUAACACACUGUCAUCUUCAAAAGAACUUUUACUGAGGUCCAUACUUCUUCAAGGAAACUCAAAGGUCCUCAAUUAUAUGAUAUGCAUCCUGAACAGCAGUACUGCAACACAAGUAUGAGAUGGAAAUCCGCUUACAGAUAUUGAAUUUGCAAGGGAAUAAAUGGAAGAAAGAAAACUGAACAACUGGAAUAAAUAGUUGAAAUAAGAUUGUUCAAGUAAUAACAGUGUUUCCAAAUUAAUCUUUAUUACUGAUGAAGUAGUUGAAGUGAGCAAAGUAGUUGAAGUGAGCAGAAGGAAAACGUGGUAAAAAUACGUGUGGUGAUAAGAGAUGAGUUGAAGCCUAUAACAGUGACACGUGGCAGAUAAGGUUGUACGUGAUUUCACUUCAUUUCAUUGGUUUAUGUAUCAGAGAAGAAGAAGAAGAAGAAAAAGAAGGAGAAGAAGCAGCAACAGCAAGAGGAGAAUGGCAGCUCUGUGUGGCCCUGCAUUGAACAGCUCCUUCCUGAGGAAGCAAGCAGUGAACAUGUCAAGCAUGAAGGCAUUCGAAAACGCCAACGCCGUGUUUGGUGUGAAAGAAGGACGAGGUGGUCGUGUGACUGCCAUGGCCACUUACAAGGUGAAGCUGAUAACCCCAGAGGGAGAAAAGCAGAUCAAAUGCUCAGAUAGUGAAUACAUUCUUGAUGCUGCAGAAGAACAAGGCCUUGACCUUCCCUACUCAUGCAGGGCUGGUGCCUGUUCUUCUUGUGCUGGAAAAAUUGUGUCUGGCAAAGUGGACCAGACAGACAAUAGCUUCCUUGAUGACGACCAAGUUGAUGCAGGAUUUGUUCUCACCUGUAUUGCUUACCCGACCUCUGACGUUGUCAUCCGCACCAACGUGGAGGACGAACUCAAUGAUUUUUAAAUCUUGUUUUCUUUCAAAUCUCAUGUACUGUUGAAUAAGGUGAAUCUUGUUGCUUUCCUUUCUGCUUCAGUUAUGAACUCUCAUGUUAUUGCUUUCCUUGCCUUCUUAUAUGAACUAUUAAGCUUCGAACGAAAUCACCAGCAAUUAUCAUGUGGUAUAUGUUAUACUUGCAAUUACACGACAAGUCCAUAUGUGUGGUCGUUCUUGAUUGGUAACACCAUUCAUUGACAAGGAUAAUUUUGUAAGCAAUAAAUAAAUUAAAAAGAAAUUUCAAUUUACAAUGAAUCCAUGAAAAACAUUUAGCACAAUUAAAGCAGUGGACGACCAUAAACCAUACUCAGAUUCCAUAUAUAAAGUUUUAUAUACUUACCAAAAAAAGGAAAAUAAGAAGAUAUAACGAGGCAUAAGAUGAUGCCACGUGGCAGAUAGGAUUGUGUGUGGCCUCAGCACCUCAUAUAGGGUAUAAUAAGCACACUAUUUCUGCAAAGUGAAGGUCAGAAUUCUUAUCCUUCAGCAAGUAGAAGAAGAAGACGACGACAACGACGCUAGCAGCAUUGAAGAAUGGCGUCGAUGGCACCCGCUCUCUGUGGCCCUGUCUUGAACACUUCCUUCCUCAGGAAGCAACCACUGAACAUGGCAAGCAUGAAGCCUUUCCAAAACGCUAACGCCGUUUUCGGUGUGGAAGGAGGACGUGGAGGUCGUGUGACUGCCAUGGCCGCUUACAAGGUGAAGCUGAUCACCCCAGAGGGAGAACAGGAGUUCGAAUGCCCAGAUGAUGAAUACAUUCUUGAUGUUGCAGAGGGCCUAGGCCUUGACCUUCCCUACUCAUGCAGGGCUGGUUCUUGNUCUUCCUGUGCUGGCAAAGUUGUCGCCGGCAAAGUCGACCAGUCGGACGGUAACUACCUUGAUGACGACCAAAUUGGUGAAGGCUGGGUUCUCACCUGCGUUGCUUACCCAACCUCUGAUCUUGUUAUCGAGACCCACAAGGAGGAAGACCUCGUUGCUUAAAUCUUAUCAUCAUCGCUGCCUCUACUUUAUUAAGUUUCUUCCUUUCCCAGCCCCAUUGUCUUUUUCCCUUUAUUCUGUGCCAUUUUGUCAGGAUAUAUACGUAUGUUAUGUUUGUUUAUGAACAACUUGUUUUGCACUAAUUCGUUAAUUACUUCACCUGUACGUUGUAGCAGCUCAAGUUCAUUGCUGUCUUACUGUUGUUGCCCACUUGAUUGAAUGACAACUCAAUUUUUUUGGUAGAUGAUUAUGAUGUUAGUGCGGAGGAUUAGAGUUCCCAAAUGUUAGGAAAUAAAUUGUGUGGUUCUCUUCUUAUCGCUUAGAAGAGAG
RNAcentral lists this long non-coding RNA (5580 nucleotides) under Vigna radiata. RNAcentral describes it as "long non-coding RNA (VRAD_LNC010773)". Lineage: Eukaryota; Viridiplantae; Streptophyta; Magnoliopsida; Fabales; Fabaceae. The record is from RNAcentral.